AUUGAACGCUGGCGGCAGGCCUAACACAUGCAAGUCGAGCGGAUGAAGGGAGCUUGCUCCUGGAUUCAGCGGCGGACGGGUGAGUAAUGCCUAGGAAUCUGCCUGGUAGUGGGGGAUAGCGUCCGGAAACGGGCGCUAAUACCGCAUACGUCCUGAGGGAGAAAGUGGGGGAUCUUCGGACCUCACGCUAUCAGAUGAGCCUAGGUCGGAUUAGCUAGUUGGUGGGGUAAAGGCCUACCAAGGCGACGAUCCGUAACUGGUCUGAGAGGAUGAUCAGUCACACUGGAACUGAGACACGGUCCAGACUCCUACGGGAGGCAGCAGUGGGGAAUAUUGGACAAUGGGCGAAAGCCUGAUCCAGCCAUGCCGCGUGUGUGAAGAAGGUCUUCGGAUUGUAAAGCACUUUAAGUUGGGAGGAAGGGCAGUAAGUUAAUACCUUGCUAUUUUGACGUUACCAACAGAAUAAGCACCGGCUAACUUCGUG
RNAcentral lists this ribosomal RNA (484 nucleotides) under uncultured bacterium. RNAcentral's name for it is "partial 16S ribosomal RNA". It matches the Rfam family "Bacterial small subunit ribosomal RNA", at positions 30 to 507 of the family's 1533-position model. The record is from RNAcentral.